Molecule: ribosomal RNA, 652 nt
Filed under: bacterium L4M2 1-9
Lineage: Bacteria
Description: bacterial SSU rRNA
Rfam family: Bacterial small subunit ribosomal RNA
Source: RNAcentral
UCAGAUGAACGCUAGCGGCAGGCUUAACACAUGCAAGUCGAGGGGCAUCGCGGGGUAGCAAUACUCUGGCGGCGACCGGCGGAAGGGUGCGUAACGCGUGAGCAACUUGCCCGUCACUGGGGGAUAGGCACUGGAAACGGUGUGUAAUACUCCAUAACAUAUGGAUUCACAUGGAUUUAUAUUGAAAGAUUCGUUGGUGACGGAUGGGCUCGCGUAACAUUAGCUAGUCGGCGGGGUAACGGCCCACCGAGGCUACGAUGUUUAGGGGUUCUGAGAGGAAGGUCCCCCACACUGGAACUGAGACACGGUCCAGACUCCUACGGGAGGCAGCAGUGAGGAAUAUUGGUCAAUGGGCGGAAGCCUGAACCAGCCAUGCCGCGUGCAGGAAUAAGGCCCUAUGGGUCGUAAACUGCUUUUCCUUGAGGGCAAUAAGGGUCACGUGUGGUCCGAUGAGAGUAUCAGGGGAAUAAGCAUCGGCUAACUCCGUGCCAGCAGCCGCGGUAAUACGGAGGAUGCGAGCGUUAUCCGGAUUUAUUGGGUUUAAAGGGUGCGUAGGCGGAUUAUUAAGUCAGUGGUGAAAUACCCGUGCUCAACAUGGGCCGUGCCAUUGAUACUGGUAGUCUAGAGUUCCGUUGCCGUGGGAGGAAUGAGU